AGUGAACGCUGGCGGUAGGCCUAACACAUGCAAGUCGAACGGCAGCACAGUAAGAGCUUGCUCUUACGGGUGGCGAGUGGCGGACGGGUGAGGAAUACAUCGGAAUCUACUUUUUCGUGGGGGAUAACGUAGGGAAACUUACGCUAAUACCGCAUACGACCUACGGGUGAAAGCGGGGGAUCUUCGGACCUUGCGCGAUUGAAUGAGCCGAUGUCGGAUUAGCUAGUUGGCGGGGUAAAGGCCCACCAAGGCGACGAUCCGUAGCUGGUCUGAGAGGAUGAUCAGCCACACUGGAACUGAGACACGGUCCAGACUCCUACGGGAGGCAGCAGUGGGGAAUAUUGGACAAUGGGCGCAAGCCUGAUCCAGCCAUACCGCGUGGGUGAAGAAGGCCUUCGGGUUGUAAAGCCCUUUUGUUGGGAAAGAAAAGCAGCAGGUUAAUACCCCGCUGUUCCGACGGUACCCAAAGAAUAAGCACCGGCUAACUUCGUG
This 492-nucleotide ribosomal RNA is filed under the name uncultured bacterium. RNAcentral's name for it is "partial 16S ribosomal RNA". It matches the Rfam family "Bacterial small subunit ribosomal RNA", at positions 29 to 507 of the family's 1533-position model. The record is from RNAcentral.